UCACGGGAUUUUCAGUAAAACUUAAUACUUAUGUUUUUAUUUCCCACCUAAAUUGCAUUCGAAGUGUAAAUUUCGGAAAAUUGUUCUAAAAAGUCGUAACCAACUGUCCAUUAAAUUUCCUUUUUUUUCUAACCAGAUAGGACAUAGGGGAAAUCAAUUGAGGACAUCCAUAUUUAAAGGAGAAUUCAUGGAAAUCCGUGAUUUUCCAAUAAGUCUGAGGUGAAAAUGUCUUGAAUUUGAAUUCUUGAUCGAACACGACAAAUAGUCAGCAACCGAAUUACAGAAAUUUUCAAUUUAUCCUGAUUUUUCACCAUUUUCAUAUAACAUUUGAUUUUGGAAAUUUGAUUUUUCAAUGUCAAGAUUUCCUGAAAUUCCAGUAGAAGUUAAAGAAAGUACAAAUUUCCGAGCGCUGAAUUUUAACGCUGAAAACUAACACGUAAAUGUUUGAAAUUGUUGUUAUAAUAAUUUCAUGUUUCUUUGCAUCAAAUUUCCGGUCAUUUUCUAACAGUGGAUAUGAGGAUGGAGAGUAUUCAAUUGAGUGUCGCAGGCUACAAUCACUUCUCAACUUGCCUUCCAUAAAUUUUGGCAUGGUCGGUAUUUUGAAGUGCAGUUAAACACCGUUUCACUGUUUGAAGCAAAAAUUUUAUAUAACUGACAAUUGUAUUUGCUCGUUGAACUUCUGGGGUCUGUGGCUGAAGCGACAUUGACGGCUGGUAUUAAAUGAUGGCCCUGGAUGACGUUACUUUGAAAAGAUCAGAGCAUCGCUGGCAAAUUACUAUUGAAAUCCCCGGCAAAACACCUCAAGAGUUUCAAGGAUGACAAAUUCACAUGCAAUAUUGGUGCAUUUUCUUCCUGGAAAACCGGAAUUCUUACUUUCCCGCAAAUUCCAUAAAAAAAAUCGGGAAAGAACAUGAAGUCGACUUUAGCUUCGGUGAGGUUUUCCAAAAUAUCUCCAAAAGUAAGAUUCAGAGCGAAUUUUUUUCCGGGCCUUUUGUGCAGCUCUCAACUACUUUUACAAAAAAGAACUACAGCUCACAAUUCAAACGCAAGGAUUGGAGGGAAUUUAACCUUGUUAUGACGGUUAGGAAACGUGGGAGCUUUUUGAAAAUCAAUGAUGAAAUAGUGUUACCGACCUUGGCUGCAUUUGAGGAGUAAGGUUCAUCGAAUAAUGACCACAUUUUGGGUUUGAGUUUUUGCCACCAC
This is a long non-coding RNA of Fopius arisanus, 1203 nucleotides long. RefSeq lists it as uncharacterized. NCBI's taxonomy places the organism in Eukaryota, Metazoa, Arthropoda, Insecta, Hymenoptera, Braconidae. The record is from RefSeq and is a predicted model, not a curated record. The transcript is spliced from 4 exons.